RNAcentral lists this non-coding RNA (29 nucleotides) under Homo sapiens (human). Lineage: Eukaryota; Metazoa; Chordata; Mammalia; Primates; Hominidae. The record is from RNAcentral.
CAGGCCAGUGGAUCACGUGCAUGCAUUUA